RNAcentral lists this long non-coding RNA (1688 nucleotides) under Citrus sinensis (sweet orange). Its description in RNAcentral is "long non-coding RNA (CSIN_LNC002949)". Lineage: Eukaryota; Viridiplantae; Streptophyta; Magnoliopsida; Sapindales; Rutaceae. The record is from RNAcentral.
AAGCCUUAUCCACGUCAUUUUCGGAAUCGUUCACUAUAAACGCUUCGACAAGCUGGAGCAGCUCGGAGUAGACGCGGUCGGCACACUCGGCUGAGUCGUUGAUGUCGACGAAGUCGAGCGUGUGGAGGACGAGUUUAGCCGCGUCGGAGUACAGAGCCUGGAUAUAGUGGCCGGACUCGUUGGAGUCGAUGAGGCUGUUGAUGUGCUCGUGGAGUGGAAGGAGAGAGCAUUGGCUUUCUUCGUUCAACGGUUGCGAUUGAAUGCGAAGAUCGGACGGUGGGGGAGCGAGGGUGCAGCGCAAGAGCCGCAGCUCGUACCCGCGGAGGAUUUCCAGUUGCUUUUCGGCCAUCAAGGUGAAGUCCCUGGAAACGAACGAGAGGGGGGUUUUGGGUUUUAGCUUUUAGUUUUUAGUUGGUUAAAACAGCCUUUCGGUGAUAAAGGUAACGAAAAAUAACCCGCGUGAUCCAGGUUUUGAAUUAAUAUUUGCUUUUAAAGUCUUCACUCUGAAUUAUGUGACUGAUAAAUUAUAAGGGAAAAAAGCAUUUAAUGUUGGUAUUUAAUGAUUAUGUAAACAAUGGAGAUUGUGCAGUUGUUGCAGAUGAAUUAGAUUCAUAUUUGGAUGAGAAAGUUAUAUCUCGGAUGGAAGAUUUUAAUAUUUUGAGUUGGUGGAAGACAAAUGCUAAUAGGUAUCCUACAUUAGCUCGAAUUGCUAGAGAUAUUUUGGCAAUUCCAAUUACAACAGUUGCUUCUGAAUCAGCUUUUAACACUAGUGGUAGAGUUGUGAGCCCAUACCAUAAUAAACUUCAUCCAAGCACAUUGGAGGCUUUAAUGUGCUGUCAAAGUUGGUUACGAGCUUACAAUAGCGGUAUGAGUUUAUUUUAAUAUGAUUAAUUUAAAAUCAAAAAUAAAAAAAUAUAUUAAACUAUUAGUUAUUCGGGGACCGGGGACCCUCGGGGAUCCCUUGUUAUUAUUCGGGGAGGGGAUGGAGAUUCUCUCAAGCAAUUCUAACGGAGACAGGGAGGGGAUGGGGACAUAUGCAAAAUAUCGGGGAUGGGUAUGGGGAGAUUGGUCCCCUCCCCUCCCCUCCCCAUUGCCAUCCCUACGUUACACUGAGUGAACCAAAAAAGGGCAGCAAUUGAAAGACACAUGAGCAGAAUAACUCGACAAGCCUUAUCCACGUCAAUUUCGGAAUCGUUCACUAUAGACGCUUUGACAAGCUGGAGCAGCUCGGAGUAGACGCGGUCGGCACACUCGGCUGAGUCGUUGAUGUCGACGAAAUCGAGCGUGUCGAGAGCGUGUUUAGCCUCGUCGGAGGACAGAGCCUGGAGAUAGUGGCCGGACUCGAUGGAGUUGAUGAGGCUGUUGAUGUGCUCGUGGAGUGGAAGGAUAGAGCAUUGGCUUUCUUCGUUCAACGGUUGCGAUUGAAUGCGAAGAUUGGACGGUGGGGGAGCUAGGGUGCAGCGCAAGAGCCGCAGCUCGUACCCGCGGAGGAUUUCCAGUUGCUUUUCGGCCAUCAAGGUAAAGUCCCUGGAAACGAACAAGAGGGGGGUUUUGGGUUUUAGCUUUUAGUUCUUAGUUGGUUAAAACAGCCUUUCGGCGAUAAAGGUAAUGAAAAAUAACCCGCGCGCUCGAGAUUUUGAAAACUAGUACUGAACAACCAAGAAACGCUAAACUACACGUCCUGCAAU